RNAcentral lists this ribosomal RNA (253 nucleotides) under uncultured bacterium. RNAcentral's name for it is "partial 16S ribosomal RNA". It matches the Rfam family "Bacterial small subunit ribosomal RNA", at positions 524 to 776 of the family's 1533-position model. The record is from RNAcentral.
UACGUAGGGGGCAAGCGUUGUCCGGAUUUACUGGGCGUAAAGAGCGUGUAGGCGGCCACGCAGGUCCGUUGUGAAAACUGGAGGCUCAACCUCCAGCUGUCGACGGAAACCGUAUGGCUAGAGUCCGGAAGAGGAGAGUGGAAUUCCUGGUGUAGCGGUGAAAUGCGCAGAUAUCAGGAAGAACACCAAUGGCGAAGGCAGCUCUCUGGGACGGUACUGACGCUGAGAAGCGAAAGCAUGGGGAGCGAACAGG